AUUGAACGCUGGCGGCAUGCCUUACACAUGCAAGUCGAACGGUAACGGGCCUUCGGGUGCCGACGAGUGGCGAACGGGUGAGUAAUACAUCGGAACGUGCCCGAUCGUGGGGGAUAACGAGGCGAAAGCUUUGCUAAUACCGCAUACGAUCUACGGAUGAAAGCAGGGGACCGCAAGGCCUUGCGCGGACGGAGCGGCCGAUGGCAGAUUAGGUAGUUGGUGGGAUAAAAGCUUACCAAGCCGACGAUCUGUAGCUGGUCUGAGAGGAUGAUCAGCCACAGUGGAACAGAGACACGGCCCAGACCCCUGGGGGAGGAAGGAGGGGGGAUUUGGGGACAAGGGGCGAAGGCUGGACCCACCCACGCGGCGGGAGGGAGGGAGGCUUUGGGUUUGAAAACUGUUUUUACGGGGAAGAAAAAGCCUUUUUUUAAUACAGGGGGGCCAGGAGGGUACCGAAAGAAUAAGCACGGGCAAACGACGGC
RNAcentral lists this ribosomal RNA (482 nucleotides) under uncultured bacterium. RNAcentral describes it as "partial 16S ribosomal RNA". It matches the Rfam family "Bacterial small subunit ribosomal RNA", at positions 29 to 508 of the family's 1533-position model. The record is from RNAcentral.